RNAcentral lists this ribosomal RNA (451 nucleotides) under uncultured bacterium. RNAcentral describes it as "partial 16S ribosomal RNA". It matches the Rfam family "Bacterial small subunit ribosomal RNA", at positions 354 to 796 of the family's 1533-position model. The record is from RNAcentral.
GUGGGGAAUAUUGGACAAUGGGGGGAACCCUGAUCCAGCCAUGCCGCGUGUGUGAAGAAGGCCUUUUGGUUGUAAAGCACUUUAAGCGAGGAGGAGGCUACCGAGAUUAAUACUCUUGGAUAGUGGACGUUACUCGCAGAAUAAGCACCGGCUAACUCUGUGCCAGCAGCCGCGGUAAUACAGAGGGUGCAAGCGUUAAUCGGAUUUACUGGGCGUAAAGCGCGCGUAGGUGGCCAAUUAAGUCAAAUGUGAAAUCCCCGAGCUUAACUUGUGAAUUGCAUUCGAUACUGGUUGGCUAGAGUAUGGGAGAGGAUGGUAGAAUUCCAGGUGUAGCGGUGAAAUGCGUAGAGAUCUGGAGGAAUACCGAUGGCGAAGGCAGCCAUCUGGCCUAAUACUGACACUGAGGUGCGAAAGCAUGGGGAGCAAACAGGAUUAGAUACCCGAGUAGUCC